This 465-nucleotide ribosomal RNA is filed under the name Vreelandella stevensii. RNAcentral's name for it is "partial 16S ribosomal RNA". It matches the Rfam family "Bacterial small subunit ribosomal RNA", at positions 338 to 795 of the family's 1533-position model. The record is from RNAcentral. Lineage: Bacteria; Pseudomonadati; Pseudomonadota; Gammaproteobacteria; Oceanospirillales; Halomonadaceae.
CCUACGGGGGGCAGCAGUGGGGAAUAUUGGUCAAUGGGGGGAACCCUGAUCCAGCCAUGCCGCGUGUGUGAAGAAGGCCCUCGGGUUGUAAAGCACUUUCAGUGAGGAAGAACGCCUGGUGGUUAAUACCCAUCAGGAAAGACAUCACUCACAGAAGAAGCACCGGCUAACUCCGUGCCAGCAGCCGCGGUAAUACGGAGGGUGCGAGCGUUAAUCGGAAUUACUGGGCGUAAAGCGCGCGUAGGUGGCUUGAUAAGCCGGUUGUGAAAGCCCCGGGCUCAACCUGGGAACGGCAUCCGGAACUGUCAAGCUAGAGUGCAGGAGAGGAAGGUAGAAUUCCCGGUGUAGCGGUGAAAUGCGUAGAGAUCGGGAGGAAUACCAGUGGCGAAGGCGGCCUUCUGGACUGACACUGACACUGAGGUGCGAAAGCGUGGGUAGCAAACAGGAUUAGAUACCCUAGUAGUC